Molecule: long non-coding RNA, 433 nt
Filed under: Medicago truncatula (barrel medic)
Lineage: Eukaryota; Viridiplantae; Streptophyta; Magnoliopsida; Fabales; Fabaceae
Description: lncRNA gene19959
Source: RNAcentral
AUGCCAAAAUCGUGUCACGAUUUCCCUGUUCUUCCAGACCACAAAUUUGAAGACAAUCUCAACACUUCUCAAAUUUUGUCUACUAUGUGUUGGAUUAUGAUGGAAGCCUAAAACUUUGAAUCAUUAUCACAUUGAGAUGAGAUAUGAACAACCACAUAAAUGUCUUAGAAUUAAAUCUUCAACAAAAAAAAGAUGUGUGAUCCGUGUUGGUUAAGGGAUAUGACUCUUCUAAAGAGCAUAUUGUCAACCAUUGAUUAAAAAGUUCAAUGUGAAAUUGCAUGUGUAUCAAAAUAGAUUAUGAGUUUGUUGAAAUAACAAACCUUAAUUGUUUUCACCUUACAUAAUAGCCAUUUUAGAGGACUUAAUUUUUAUUUUUAUUUGAGUGGAUGAGGAGUUAAAUUUGUUUGUCAAACCUUAAUUGUUUUCGCCUUAC